GCUGUGUGCUGUGGUGCACACCUGUAAUCUCAGCUCCUUGGGAGGCUGAGGCAGGAGGAUCUCAGGUUCAAAGCCAGCCUUAGUAACUUAGCAAGGCUCUAAGCAACUUAGUAAGACCCUGUCUCUA
This 127-nucleotide small RNA is filed under the name Marmota monax (woodchuck). Lineage: Eukaryota; Metazoa; Chordata; Mammalia; Rodentia; Sciuridae. The record is from RNAcentral.